UCCUACGGGUGGCAGCAGUGGGGAAUAUUGGACAAUGGGGGCAACCCUGAUCCAGCGACGCCGCGUGUGUGAAGAAGGCCUGCGGGUUGUAAAGCACUUUUAGUGGGGAUGAAAAGCGCGAGGCUAAUACCGUCGCGUCUUGACCUAACCCAAAGAAAAAGCACCGGCUAACUCUGUGCCAGCAGCCGCGGUAAUACAGAGGGUGCGAGCGUUAAUCGGAAUUACUGGGCGUAAAGCGUGCGUAGACGGUCAUGUAAGUCGGGUGUGAAAGCCCCGGGCUCAACCUGGGAAUUGCAUUCGAGACUGCAUGGCUAGGAUGCGGAAGAGGGAAGCGGAAUUUCCGGUGUAGCGGUGAAAUGCGUAGAUAUCGGAAGGAACACCAGUGGCGAAAGCGGCUUCCUGGUCCAGCAUCGACGUUCAGGCACGAAAGCGUGGGGAGCAAACAGGAUUAGAUACCCUAGUAGUC
RNAcentral lists this ribosomal RNA (466 nucleotides) under uncultured Sinobacteraceae bacterium. RNAcentral describes it as "bacterial SSU rRNA". It matches the Rfam family "Bacterial small subunit ribosomal RNA", at positions 337 to 795 of the family's 1533-position model. Lineage: Bacteria; Pseudomonadati; Pseudomonadota; Gammaproteobacteria; Nevskiales; Nevskiaceae. The record is from RNAcentral.